Molecule: ribosomal RNA, 253 nt
Filed under: uncultured bacterium
Lineage: Bacteria
Description: partial 16S ribosomal RNA
Rfam family: Bacterial small subunit ribosomal RNA
Source: RNAcentral
UACGUAGGUGGCAAGCGUUAUCCGGAAUUAUUGGGCGUAAAGCGCGCGCAGGCGGUUUCUUAAGUCUGAUGUGAAAGCCCACGGCUCAACCGUGGAGGGUCAUUGGAAACUGGGGAACUUGAGUGCAGAAGAGAAAAGCGGAAUUCCACGUGUAGCGGUGAAAUGCGUAGAGAUGUGGAGGAACACCAGUGGCGAAGGCGGCUUUUGGUCUGUAACUGACGCUUGAGGCGCGAAAGCGUGGGGAGCAAACAGG